This 451-nucleotide ribosomal RNA is filed under the name uncultured bacterium. Its description in RNAcentral is "bacterial SSU rRNA". It matches the Rfam family "Bacterial small subunit ribosomal RNA", at positions 65 to 507 of the family's 1533-position model. The record is from RNAcentral.
AACGGUAGCACAGAGAGCUUGCUCUCGGGUGACGAGUGGCGGACGGGUGAGUAAUGUCUGGGAAACUGCCCGAUGGAGGGGGAUAACUACUGGAAACGGUAGCUAAUACCGCAUAAUGUCGCAAGACCAAAGAGGGGGACCUUCGGGCCUCUUGCCAUCGGAUGUGCCCAGAUGGGAUUAGCUUGUAGGUGAGGUAACGGCUCACCUAGGCGACGAUCCCUAGCUGGUCUGAGAGGAUGACCAGCCACACUGGAACUGAGACACGGUCCAGACUCCUACGGGAGGCAGCAGUGGGGAAUAUUGCACAAUGGGCGCAAGCCUGAUGCAGCCAUGCCGCGUGUAUGAAGAAGGCCUUCGGGUUGUAAAGUACUUUCAGCGGGGAGGAAGGGAGUGAGGUUAAUAAGCUCAUUCAUUGACGUUACCCGCAGAAGAAGCACCGGCUAACUCCGUG